Molecule: transfer RNA, 72 nt
Filed under: Camelus bactrianus (Bactrian camel)
Lineage: Eukaryota; Metazoa; Chordata; Mammalia; Artiodactyla; Camelidae
Also listed under: 2 other names
Rfam family: tRNA
About the family: Transfer RNA (tRNA) molecules are approximately 80 nucleotides in length. Their secondary structure includes four short double-helical elements and three loops (D, anti-codon, and T loops). Further hydrogen bonds mediate the characteristic L-shaped molecular structure. tRNAs have two regions of fundamental functional importance: the anti-codon, which is responsible for specific mRNA codon recognition, and the 3' end, to which the tRNAs corresponding amino acid is attached (by aminoacyl-tRNA synthetases). tRNAs cope with the degeneracy of the genetic code in two manners: having more than one tRNA (with a specific anti-codon) for a particular amino acid; and 'wobble' base-pairing, i.e. permitting non-standard base-pairing at the 3rd anti-codon position.
Source: Rfam by way of RNAcentral
GAAGGUAGAGCUCAGUGGUAGAGCAUAUGCUUAGCAUACACGAGGUCCUGGUUUCAAUCCCCAGUACCACCA